This 460-nucleotide ribosomal RNA is filed under the name uncultured bacterium. RNAcentral describes it as "SSU rRNA". It matches the Rfam family "Bacterial small subunit ribosomal RNA", at positions 26 to 518 of the family's 1533-position model. The record is from RNAcentral.
AGAAUCAACGCUGGCGGCGUGCCUAACACAUGCAAGUCGCACGAGAAAGGGACUUCGGUCCUGAGUACAGUGGCGCACGGGUGAGUAACACGUGAAUAAUCUACCUCCGAGUGGGGAAUAACUGAGAGAAAUCUUAGCUAAUACCGCAUAACACUUACGAGUCAAAGCAGCAAUGCGCUUGGAGAGGAGUUCGCGGCAGAUUAGUUAGUUGGCGGGGUAAUGGCCCACCAAGACGAUGAUCUGUAUCCGGCCUGAGAGGGCGCACGGACACACUGGAACUGAAACACGGUCCAGACUCCUACGGGAGGCAGCAGUGGGGAAUUUUGCGCAAUGGGGGAAACCCUGACGCAGCAACGCCGCGUGGAGGAUGAAAUCCCUUGGGAUGGUAAACUCCUUUCGAUAGGGAAGAUAAUGACGGUACCUAUAGAAGAAGCCCGGCUAACUUCGUGCCAGCAGCCGC